GUGGGGAAUCUUCCACAAUGGACGAAAGUCUGAUGGAGCAACGCCGCGUGAGUGAAGAAGGGUUUCGGCUCGUAAAGCUCUGUUGUCGGGGACGAAUGUGCAGUAUUUGAAUAAAGUAGUGCAAUGACGGUACCUGACGAGGAAGCCACGGCUAACUACGUGCCAGCAGCCGCGGUAAUACGUAGGUGGCAAGCGUUGUCCGGAAUUAUUGGGCGUAAAGGGAGCGCAGGCGGGAAGAUAAGUCGGUCUUAAAAGUGCGGGGCUCAACCCCGUGAUGGGAUCGAAACUAUCUUUCUUGAGUGCAGGAGAGGAAAGUGGAAUUCCUAGUGUAGCGGUGAAAUGCGUAGAUAUUAGGAGGAACACCAGUGGCGAAGGCGACUUUCUGGACUGUAACUGACGCUGAGGCUCGAAAGCCAGGGGAGCGAACGGGAUUAGAAACCCCAGUAGUCC
RNAcentral lists this ribosomal RNA (450 nucleotides) under uncultured bacterium. RNAcentral describes it as "partial 16S ribosomal RNA". It matches the Rfam family "Bacterial small subunit ribosomal RNA", at positions 354 to 796 of the family's 1533-position model. The record is from RNAcentral.